RNAcentral lists this ribosomal RNA (497 nucleotides) under uncultured bacterium. Its description in RNAcentral is "partial 16S ribosomal RNA". It matches the Rfam family "Bacterial small subunit ribosomal RNA", at positions 28 to 507 of the family's 1533-position model. The record is from RNAcentral.
GACGAACGCUGGCGGCGUGCCUAAUACAUGCAAGUAGAACGCUGAAGAGAGGAGCUUGCUCUUCUUGGAUGAGUUGCGAACGGGUGAGUAACGCGUAGGUAACCUGCCUUGUAGCGGGGGAUAACUAUUGGAAACGAUAGCUAAUACCGCAUAACAAUGGAUGACACAUGUCAUUUAUUUGAAAGGGGCAAUUGCUCCACUACAAGAUGGACCUGCGUUGUAUUAGCUAGUAGGUGAGGUAAUGGCUCACCUAGGCGACGAUACAUAGCCGACCUGAGAGGGUGAUCGGCCACACUGGGACUGAGACACGGCCCAGACUCCUACGGGAGGCAGCAGUAGGGAAUCUUCGGCAAUGGGGGCAACCCUGACCGAGCAACGCCGCGUGAGUGAAGAAGGUUUUCGGAUCGUAAAGCUCUGUUGUAAGUCAAGAACGGGCGUGAGAGUGGAAAGUUCACACUGUGACGGUAGCUUACCAGAAAGGGACGGCUAACUACGUG